ACGCUGGCGGCUGCCUUAACAUGCAAGUCGAACGGCAGCACGGGGGCAACCCUGGUGGCGAGUGGCGAACGGGUGAGUAAUGAAUCGGAACGUGCCCGGUAGUGGGGGAUAACCAGUCGAAAGACUGGCUAAUACCGCAUACGACCUACGGGUGAAAGCGGGGGACCGUAAGGCCUCGCGCUAUCGGAGCGGCCGAUUUCCGAUUAGCUAGUUGGUGAGGUAAAGGCUCACCAAGGCGAUGAUCGGUAGCUGGUCUGAGAGGACGGCCAGCCACACUGGGACUGAGACACGGCCCAGACUCCUACGGGAGGCAGCAGUGGGGAAUUUUGGACAAUGGGCGAAAGCCUGAUCCAGCCAUGCCGCGUGCGGGAAGAAGGCCUUCGGGUUGUAAACCGCUUUUGGCAGGAACGAAACGGCGCGAGCCAAUACCUCGCGUUAAUGACGGUACCUGCAGAAUAAGCACCGGCUAACUACGUGCCAGCAGCCGCGGUAAUACGUAGGGUGCAAGCGUUAAUCGGAAUUACUGGGCGUAAAGCGUACGCAGGCGGCUUGGUAAGACAGAUGUGAAAU
This 570-nucleotide ribosomal RNA is filed under the name uncultured bacterium. RNAcentral describes it as "bacterial SSU rRNA". It matches the Rfam family "Bacterial small subunit ribosomal RNA", at positions 33 to 600 of the family's 1533-position model. The record is from RNAcentral.